Molecule: ribosomal RNA, 497 nt
Filed under: uncultured bacterium
Lineage: Bacteria
Description: partial 16S ribosomal RNA
Rfam family: Bacterial small subunit ribosomal RNA
Source: RNAcentral
GACGAACGCUGGCGGCGUGCCUAAUACAUGCAAGUAGAACGCUUAAGAGAGGAGCUUGCUCUUCUUGGAUGAGUUGCGAACGGGUGAGUAACGCGUAGGUAACCUGCCUUGUAGCGGGGGAUAACUAUUGGAAACGAUAGCUAAUACCGCAUAACAAUGGAUGACCCAUGUCAUUUAUUUGAAAGGGGCAAAUGCUCCACUACAAGAUGGACCUGCGUUGUAUUAGCUAGUAGGUGAGGUAACGGCUCACCUAGGCGACGAUACAUAGCCGACCUGAGAGGGUGAUCGGCAACACUGGGACUGAGAAACGGCCCAGACUACUACGGGAGGCAGCAGUAGGGAAUAUUAGGCAAUGGGGGCAACCCUGACCGAGAAACGCCGCGUGAGUGAAGAAGGUUUUCGGAUCGUAAAGCUCUGUUGUAAGUCAAGAACGAGUGUGAGAGUGGAAAGUUCACACUGUGACGGUAGCUUACCAGAAAGGGACGGCUAACUACGUG